Molecule: long non-coding RNA, 576 nt
Organism: Girardinichthys multiradiatus
Lineage: Eukaryota; Metazoa; Chordata; Actinopteri; Cyprinodontiformes; Goodeidae
Exons: 2
Source: RefSeq, a predicted model, not a curated record
AAAACAUUCAGAAGUUGCUUGCAGAGGUAGUUUGGUUGGGAUUUUCAUCCAGAGGAAGAAACCACAUGCGGUGAUCUGCUUCCCGAUCAGAUAGAGGCGAAGUAAACCUGAACCCAGGAUUUAUGUCACUGAACACUGACUACGUGUCCGGGGGUCUUUCUGGAUGAUCAAGACUAUCUACGUUCUGAGGAUUUCAUCUCCUAUCUACCGUCUUCAUUUGGAUUUGCAUCUAGCUGGCAGUUUUCCUGCUACCUUCACCUCCUGGACCAAGCCGUAAGCGUACCCUGUCCACCCUCCAACGUAACCAUCUGCACACCGAACUCAUUCCUGUUUGCUCCAAGCUCACACAGAACGGCACUUAAGAACCUUCUACAAACCUGGAUCCUGAAUGCCUUUUCCCCUGAUGACCUGACCACACCUAUUUAGUAAGCUGUUCUCUUGAUUGCAUUAAUUCAUUGUUCUUAGUUUGUCAUUAUUCAGUUCCCUAUUCUCACCAAUUCUCUUCCCUUCUUCCCAUACAGUAGGAAAAUCAUCCGUUCCGGAUUAUCUUUGUCAAAAUAAACAUCCUUUACAUAU